AUGGCUACACUCCACAUGUUCCUCGGCCUCCUUUCCAUGCACACUAUUCCUCCUAGCAUAGCCACAAAAGACGAUACGCUCGUGCCAGGCCAGACAUUUGCCGUCGGCGACAAGCUCGUCUCCAGCAAUGGCAAGUUCACGCUUGGCUUCUUCCAGCCCGGUGCCGGCAACACCAGCAAGUCAUCCACCUCUCCACAUUGGUACCUUGCCAUAUGGUUCAGCAAGAUCCAUGUUAUCACUCCCGUCUGGGUCGCCAACCGGGAGACGCCAAUCGCCGGACCCGAUCUGAGAGCAACACAGCUUCAAAUCUCAGAAGAUGGCAACCUUGUCGUCUUAAACAACGCCAUCCAAUCCGUUGUCUGGUCCACCAACAUCACCAAUACUAGAACCAACACCAACAUCUCCAAUACUAGAACCAACACCAGCAACACGAGGGCCAUCCUUUUGGGCAGUGGGAACCUCGUCAUAGAAAGCCUGUCAAGCGAGGUGCUGUGGCAGAGCUUCGACGACCCAACCGACGUCCUGCUCCCAGGCGCCAAGAUCGGCUGGAACAAGGUCACCAGCCUGAACCGUCUCGGCAUCUCGUGGAAGAGCCGGAUUGAUCCGGGCCUCGGCUCCUUCAGCGUGGGACUGGUAACCAAUGGCACAAGGAUGGUGACCGCCAGGCGUCGAGGCUACCCUUCCGAAGUGUACUGGUGGUGGUCGCCUGACGACCACUCGUCGAUGCAGAUCCCAGCAAUCACGAAGCUGCUGCAAAUGAGCCCACAGACCAGCAUGGUCGUCCCAGAAUACGUCAACAACAGGGAGGAGGAGUACUACAUGUACACCUCACCAGAUGAGAUCUCUUCGUUCCUCUUCAUGGACGUGUUUGGUCAGGCCAGGCUGAACGUGUGGUCGCAAGACAACCAGGCAUGGCAUAGCAUCUACGUCAACCCAGCUGAUCCCUGCACCCCAUACGCCGCCUGCGGACCGUUCACUGUCUGCACCGGCAGCUCGCACCCGCCAUGCGAGUGCAUGGAGAGCUUCUCCAGAACGUCGCCUCAGGAUUGGGAGCUCGGUGACCGGACAGAAGGCAAAUGCUCUGUUUGGCAUGGGGAGUUGUUCAGUGUAAACAAGGAUGAUGGCAUCGAGAUCAGCUCUGAAUAUACUCUGUACAUUCGCCUUGCUGCGGGAGAUGUUCCGAGUUCAACAAGAGAUAGUAAAAGAAAACCAGCAGCUCGAGUUGUUAUUGCUGCAAGCGUUAUCGGUUUUGGGUUGCUGAUGAUCAUGCUGCUACUUGUGAUCUUAAGGAACAGAUUCAACUGGUGUGGUAUGUCAUCACCGGCCACCAAUCAAGGUAGUGUUGGAGUUGUUGCCUUUAGAUAUGCCGAUUUGGGCCGUGCUACAAAGAAUUUCUCAGUGAAGCUAGGAGCAGGAGGUUUUGGGACAGUAUUUAAGGGAGUUUUAAGUGAGCUGACUAGUGUAGCAGUGAAAAGGCUUGAAGGUGCACGUCAGGGAGAGAAGCAAUUCAGGGCAGAGGUAAGUGCACUUGGACUGAUCCAGCACAUCAACCUGGUCAAAUUGGUUGGUUUCUGUUGUCAUGGUGAUAAGAGGCUGCUUGUAUAUGAACACGUGUGCAAUGGUUCUCUUGAUUCCCAUCUGUUCCAAAGCAAUGGUACAGUCCUCAACUGGAGCACCAGAUAUCAGAUAGCCAUCGGAGUUGCUAGAGGAUUGUCCUACCUGCACCAGAGUUGCCGCGAAUGCAUCAUCCACUGUGAUAUCAAGCCUGAAAAUGUACUUCUCAAUGAAUCGUUUGUCCCUAAAAUUGCAGACUUUGGGUUGGCAUCGGUCAUAGGAAGGGAUUUUAGCCGGGUUCUAACUACAUUCAGGGGAACUACAGGGUAUCUUGCCCCAGAGUGGCUUAGCGGGGUUGCUAUUACAUCUAAAAUCGAUGUUUACAGCUUUGGCAUGGUACUGAUAGAAAUCAUAUCGGGAAGAAGGAAUGCUUCUGUUGUGCACACUAGCAGCAUCGACCAUGUCGCUUUUUUCCCUGUGCGAGCCAUCAACAAGCUUCAUGAGGGAGAUGUGCAGAGCUUGGUAGAUCCAGAAUUACAUGGUGACUUUAACUUGGAUGAGGUUGAAAGAGUUUGCAAUGUAGCAUGUUGGUGUAUCCAGGAUAAUGAGCUGGAGCGGCCAACAAUGGGUGAAGUGGUCAGAGUUCUUGAGGGUCUAAUGGAGCUUGAUAUGCCUCCAAUGCCAAGACUGCUUGCGGCUAUAACAACAUAA
This 2265-nucleotide ribosomal RNA is filed under the name Triticum aestivum (bread wheat). RNAcentral describes it as "partial small subunit ribosomal RNA". Lineage: Eukaryota; Viridiplantae; Streptophyta; Magnoliopsida; Poales; Poaceae. The record is from RNAcentral.